CUUUCGUGAUGGGGUGGGAAAAACUACGAGCGAAACACUUAGUGAGUAGUGGGAAAAGUUCAUGCGUAAAACAGCGGAGUAGCCAGCGAAACUUUUCCAUGGGAACUUUGGACACGCAGAACAAUGUCGAAAGUUUACUUUAAAUCGGAAUGCACAGCAAUACACUUUGGACUCCUUUUCCUUUUGGGUUACUCGGCAGCAACAGUUGCUGCUGGUAGAAUAAAUCAGUCGAUGGAGUGACUGUGGAUGCAGCUGCUGUUCUAGGGUAAACAAUAUCAAUCAUACGCCACGGCUGCUGGCAGAAAUGUGAAGUGUGGGGAAUGGAAGGAAGCCUUUGGGAAAUCAAUCUGACGGUUAUUUCGUACCCUUAAGUAUAUGUGUUUAAAGGAACCCGAUAUAAAUCGGAGCUUUUUUUCUUUAACAUGGACCCAGAACGUUGAAUUUGGUAUUAAUGUCUUCUAGUCAGCGCCAUUACAAAUAGCUAGCGGCUAUUGCGUUGCACUCUCUGAUGAACUGCAUCUGGUGCCCUCACUAAAAUAAUAUCAAUCAUGCGCCGUGGUGGCCUUACCAUUCGCCGCUUGGACCUCUUGUCCGUGUCCUUUUCCCUCGAGUUGGCCGCACUGCUGGCAGAUGGCGUCGAUGUGCCUGGUGUGGACUUUCUUCUGUGCUCCUGGUGCCUCUGCAGCUGGCAGCACAGUCGCACGUAGGUGCACUGCAGGCCAUCGGCGAGCAGGGCUCCCAAGCUGGACAGGCACAUCAGCAUGAGGGGCACGCCCACCAGGGCGUAGAAGAUGGUCGCCAGCUUCCCGGCGGCGGUGCGCGGCGUCAGGCUGCCGUGACCUGCAAGGAUCGGAAUGAUAUAUCUGGUUUAGAACUUAAGCAUGGCAAGCACGAACAGGCUAAUAUAAAUGCAUGCACUUUUAAUCGGAUGGGUGAGGACAAGUGGAGAAAUGGGUGCGGGUCCUUCUGGAAACUUAAUCUGUGGUGAAAUGGCGCUGCAGCAUAUGGAAUUACUUUCCACGAGUAGAAAGUGCAGGAAGUUUGUGUUUAAUGGGUCACAACUUAAGCUGUCUAGUUAUCUGUGUCUACUUAUAAAAUCACAUUGCAAAUACGUACAUAGUUUAUACAGCAAUAACCCACAAGGACUGAGUAGGUAAUAUAAGAAGCACCUCUUAGCAAUAAUAAUUUUCUAUCAUAUUG
Molecule: long non-coding RNA, 1200 nt
Filed under: Drosophila melanogaster (fruit fly)
Lineage: Eukaryota; Metazoa; Arthropoda; Insecta; Diptera; Drosophilidae
Description: antisense RNA:CR44207 (Dmel_CR44207)
Source: RNAcentral